CUACGGUUCAUGUUCCGGACGGUCUAUCGAAGAGAUAUCUGCCAUUAUGACCAAAUGAAGUUGGACACGCAAAGAUCCUGUCAGUCUGUCUGUCAAACAGCUGAACUCCGUGCGGAUGGGACUAGGUUUACACUCGAUGGCUCAUGCAGGGCAAGAGAACCUGGCUGCAGUGCUGUCUUUGGGGAGAGCCUUAGCACCCACAGAUACCGGGGCAGAGCGACCCACCCUUUGGGUUUGGAAGAAACCUGACAGGAGGUAAAAAAUUAGAGGGAACAUUGCUCCAGACCCCAGUCUCGGAGCCUCAUGUCACCUCGCCGCCGCUGGGCCAGCUGGAGAAUUCCCAGCUCCAAGGUCGGACGGAAACAUUGGGAUCACC
This is a long non-coding RNA of Mauremys mutica (yellowpond turtle), 376 nucleotides long. RefSeq lists it as uncharacterized. NCBI's taxonomy places the organism in Eukaryota, Metazoa, Chordata, Testudines, Geoemydidae. The transcript has 4 exons. The record is from RefSeq and is a predicted model, not a curated record.